GCCUCUGUAGCUCAGUAGGUAGAGCAGAGGACUGAAAAUCCUCGUGUCGUUGGUUCGAUUCCGACCGGAGGCACCA
This 76-nucleotide transfer RNA is filed under the name Bacillota bacterium. Its description in RNAcentral is "tRNA-Phe". It matches the Rfam family "tRNA". Rfam says of the family: Transfer RNA (tRNA) molecules are approximately 80 nucleotides in length. Lineage: Bacteria; Bacillati; Bacillota. RNAcentral also lists the same sequence under 4 other names. The record is from RNAcentral.